RNAcentral lists this ribosomal RNA (206 nucleotides) under uncultured bacterium. RNAcentral's name for it is "partial 16S ribosomal RNA". It matches the Rfam family "Bacterial small subunit ribosomal RNA", at positions 1287 to 1500 of the family's 1533-position model. The record is from RNAcentral.
CUCAGUUCGGAUUGGAGUCUGCAACCCGACUCCAUGAAGCUGGAUUCGCUAGUAAUCGCGCAUCAGCCACGGCGCGGUGAAUACGUUCCCGGGCCUUGUACACACCGCCCGUCAAGCCAUGGGAGCCGGGGGUGCCUGAAGGCCGUGACCGCGAGGAGCGGCCUAGGGUAAAACUGGUGACUGGGGCUAAGUCGUAACAAGGUACC